CCUGCGUCCCGGACUGUAUGAAGUGUGCUCUCUCCUAUAGAAGUCAGACAUCGGGAUUUCCAUCUUCCUGGAAGACCGGCCCUUCAAAGCCAAUUUGUUCCAUGUCCCUGUUGAGUCCUGUUCCAGUGUGCAGAGGAGGAACCGUACGGAGUGGGCUGAGCCUGGCAAAGCUGGCUGCUUAGGGUGACUUCUCUGUAGAACGGAGUUCCAAAGUUACUGAAGGAGUGCUGCUGUGAGUCACCUUCCCGCCAGCCAGGUUUCUAAACUGAGCACCCAUGGCUGGAGGCAGAGUUCCAAGAGAAGCCAGCUCCCCAAAGCUCCCAUCAAGACUCAAAGGUCAGACCUAUGGAAGAAAACUGGAAAUUUGAGCCAUUUAUUUUGGGCUGUAAAUGUGAUCUAAGCAUUUCUGAAAAAAUCUCUCUGCUCUGUUCCAGUUCCAAUCAAGUUAAACAGAGUUUUUCCCUCUCAGCCUAGAGUUCAAGCCCCCAAGACCUGACUUUUUUGAUGUUCUCAGGGUGGUGUCAAACUUCACACGCUGCAAAGGCAGCUGUAGCCAUGAGGGCUGGUCUGCCAGAAGCUGGGCACACAGGAAACGCCACAAGCCACCUGUCAAAAACCUGACUGCAAUGAGAUGUGAGUGAAACCAGAAUCAGGCCUACUGCACAGAGUUAAUCAUAAAUAAUGCUGUCUCGGUAAUGGUUGCAAUUAGUUAUGAACUUCAGUCAUUUCUAACGUUUCCGUGUUGGCCAAUUAUGCUGCAGAAAUUAUCAAGUAACCCAUAGCACAUUAGCUUUGUGUAAUGCCAUUGUUUGGAGGUGCUCAGGUCAGCAGAUCCUGGCAGGAUGAAUUAGCAUAGCUCCGCCAGGCACAAUGGUGCUGCCCUGAUUUACGCUGCCUGAAAAGCCCUCCCUUUGUCUGCAGGAGUUGUAGCUGCAGCAAGUUCAAACUGCAGCCUUGCAGUGGGGACUCUUUGGACCCAGCCUUACAGAAACAAGGGCGUGUGU
This 1004-nucleotide long non-coding RNA is filed under the name Calidris pugnax (ruff). RNAcentral describes it as "lncRNA (ENSCPUG00000003394.1)". Lineage: Eukaryota; Metazoa; Chordata; Aves; Charadriiformes; Scolopacidae. The record is from RNAcentral.